AUUGAACGCUGGCGGCAUGCCUUACACAUGCAAGUCGAACGGCAGCGGGCCCUCGGGUGCCGGCGAGUGGCGAACGGGUGAGUAAUGCAUCGGAACGUGCCAUUGAGUGGGGGAUAACGUAGCGAAAGUUGCGCUAAUACCGCAUAUUCUGUGAGCAGAAAAGCAGGGGACCGCAAGGCCUUGCGCUCUUUGAGCGGCCGAUGUCAGAUUAGCUAGUUGGUGAGGUAAAGGCUUACCAAGGCGACGAUCUGUAGCGGGUCUGAGAGGAUGAUCCGCCACACUGGAACUGAGACACGGUCCAGACUCCUACGGGAGGCAGCAGUGGGGAAUUUUGGACAAUGGGGGCAACCCUGAUCCAGCCAUGCCGCGUGAGUGAAGAAGGCC
Molecule: ribosomal RNA, 384 nt
Filed under: uncultured bacterium
Lineage: Bacteria
Description: bacterial SSU rRNA
Rfam family: Bacterial small subunit ribosomal RNA
Source: RNAcentral